Caenorhabditis elegans is the source of this 145-nucleotide non-coding RNA. The record is from Ensembl. NCBI's taxonomy places the organism in Eukaryota, Metazoa, Nematoda, Chromadorea, Rhabditida, Rhabditidae.
GACAAAGGCUUUGUUUGUCUGAUUGACUUUGGAUCUUAGACAUUUGACUUUCAGACUGUUUGAAUUUGAGCUUAAACUCAAAAGUUCUCUAACCUUAUACAUAGAUACUUGACGAUUUCCUCUUAGCCCCUGACGACGUCAUUAU